This 251-nucleotide ribosomal RNA is filed under the name Bacillus sp. AFS051223. RNAcentral's name for it is "partial 23S ribosomal RNA". It matches the Rfam family "Bacterial large subunit ribosomal RNA", at positions 1052 to 1304 of the family's 2925-position model. Lineage: Bacteria; Bacillati; Bacillota; Bacilli; Caryophanales; Bacillaceae. The record is from RNAcentral.
GUUAUGGUUAAGUGGGAAACGAUGUGGGAAGGCUUAGACAGCUAGGAGGUUGGCUUAGAAGCAGCCACCCUUUAAAGAAAGCGUAAUAGCUCACUAGUCGAGUCGGCCUGCGCGGAAGAUGUAACGGGGCUCAAACCAUACACCGAAGCUACGGGUAUCACUUAGGUGAUGCGGUAGAGGAGCGUUCUGUAAGCCUGUGAAGGUGAGUUGAGAAGCUUGCUGGAGGUAUCAGAAGUGCGAAUGCUGACAUG